RNAcentral lists this ribosomal RNA (223 nucleotides) under Escherichia coli. RNAcentral's name for it is "partial 23S ribosomal RNA". It matches the Rfam family "Bacterial large subunit ribosomal RNA", at positions 1655 to 1860 of the family's 2925-position model. Lineage: Bacteria; Pseudomonadati; Pseudomonadota; Gammaproteobacteria; Enterobacterales; Enterobacteriaceae. The record is from RNAcentral.
CGACACAGGUGGUCAGGUAGAGAAUACCAAGGCGCUUGAGAGAACUCGGGUGAAGGAACUAGGCAAAAUGGUGCCGUAACUUCGGGAGAAGGCACGCUGAUAUGUAGGUGAGGUCCCUCGCGGAUGGAGCUGAAAUCAGUCGAAGAUACCAGCUGGCUGCAACUGUUUAUUAAAAACACAGCACUGUGCAAACACGAAAGUGGACGUAUACGGUGUGACGCCU